This 465-nucleotide ribosomal RNA is filed under the name uncultured bacterium. Its description in RNAcentral is "bacterial SSU rRNA". It matches the Rfam family "Bacterial small subunit ribosomal RNA", at positions 338 to 795 of the family's 1533-position model. The record is from RNAcentral.
CCUACGGGUGGCAGCAGUGGGGAAUAUUGGACAAUGGGCGAAAGCCUGAUCCAGCGACGCCGCGUGGGUGAAGAAGGCCUGCGGGUUGUAAAGCCCUUUCGGUUGGGAAGAAAAGUAUUGACCUAACACGUCAGUACCUUGACGUAACCAACAAAAGAAGCACCGGCUAACUCUGUGCCAGCAGCCGCGGUAAUACAGAGGGUGCAAGCGUUAAUCGGAAUUACUGGGCGUAAAGCGCACGUAGGCGGCUUGAUAAGUCGAGUGUGAAAUUCCCGGGCUUAACCUGGGACCUGCAUUCGAAACUGUCUUGCUAGAGUAUGGGAGAGGGAAGUGGAAUUUCAGGUGUAGCGGUGAAAUGCGUAGAUAUCUGAAGGAACAUCAGUGGCGAAAGCGACUUCCUGGACCAAUACUGACGCUCAGGUGCGAAAGCGUGGGGAGCAAACAGGAUUAGAUACCCUAGUAGUC